Molecule: unclassified non-coding RNA, 400 nt
Filed under: soil metagenome
Description: partial contains 5.8S ribosomal RNA, internal transcribed spacer 2, and large subunit ribosomal RNA
Rfam family: 5.8S ribosomal RNA (bases 1-122)
Source: RNAcentral
GAUGAAGAACGUAGCGAAAUGCGAUACUUGGUGUGAAUUGCAGAAUCCCGUGAACCAUCGAGUCUUUGAACGCAAGUUGCGCCUCAAGCCAUUAGGUUGAGGGCACGUCUGCCUGGGCGUCACAUAUCGUUGCCUGAUGCCAGUUUCCUCGUGAUGGGUGACUGUGCAGGGCGAAUGAUGGCUUCCCGUGAGCAUUGUUGCCUCAUGGUUGGUUGAAAAUUGAGUCCUUGGUAGGGAGCGCCGUGAUAGAUGGUGGUUGAGUGACGAACGAGACCCAAUCAUGUGAGACCCCUACCGANNNNNNNCUUCAUGACCCACAUGCGUCUUUGGAACGCUCAUGACGAGACCUCAGGUCAGGCGGGGCUACCCGCUGAGUUUAAGCAUAUCAAUAAGCGGAGGA